GCAACAGCUCAAAUUUGAAAUCUGGCGUCUUAGGCGUCCGAGUUGUAAUUUGCAGAGGGAGUCUCGGGUUUAGGACCGGCCCAAGUGCCUUGGAACAGGAUACCAAAGAGGGUGAGAGUCCCGUAUCCGGCCGGUACCGACGCCCGUGUGAGACCCCUUCGACGAGUCGAGUUGUUUGGGAAUGCAGCUCUAAAUGGGUGGUAAAUUCCAUCUAAAGCUAAAUACUGGCCAGAGACCGAUAGCGCACAAGUAGAGUGAUCGAAAGAUGAAAAAGCACUUUGAAAAAGAGAGUCAAACAGUACGUGAAAUUGUUGAAAGGGAAGCGUAUGUGGGCAGACUUGACCACGGGAUUCAGCUCGUCUUCUGGCGGGUGUACUUUUCUCGUGGGCAGGCCAGCAUCGGUUUCGGGGGUAAGACAAAGGCGUCGGGAAUGUGGCACUCUUCGGGGUGUGUUAUAGCCCGUCGUGUAAUGUUACCACCUGGGACCGAGGACCGCGUUUUACGAGGAUGCUGGCGUAAUGGCCUCAUACGGCCCGUCUUGAAACACGGACCAAGGAGUCUAACAUCUAUGCGAGUGUUUGGGUGUCAAGCCCGGGCGCGCAAUGAAAGUGAACGGAGGUGGGAGUCUUCGGACGCACCAUCGACCGAUCCCGAUGUCUUCGGAGGGAUUUGAGUACGAGCAUAGCUGUUGGGACCCGAAAGAUGGUGAACUAUGCGUGAAUAGGGUGAAGCCAGAGGAAACUCUGGUGGAGGCUCGCAGCGGUUCUGACGUGCAAAUCGAUCGUCAA
RNAcentral lists this ribosomal RNA (788 nucleotides) under Verruconis terricola. RNAcentral's name for it is "partial large subunit ribosomal RNA". It matches the Rfam family "Eukaryotic large subunit ribosomal RNA", at positions 101 to 908 of the family's 3401-position model. Lineage: Eukaryota; Fungi; Ascomycota; Dothideomycetes; Venturiales; Sympoventuriaceae. The record is from RNAcentral.